GCAGUCGAACGCUGAAGCACCAGCUUGCUGGUGUGGAUGAGUGGCGAACGGGUGAGUAAUACGUGAGUAACCUGCCCUUGACUCUGGGAUAAGCCCGGGAAACUGGGUCUAAUACUGGAUGCUACAUGUCACCGCAUGGUGGUGUGUGGAAAGGGUUUACUGGUCUUGGAUGGGCUCACGGCCUAUCAGCUUGUUGGUGAGGUAAUGGCUCACCAAGGCGACGACGGGUAGCCGGCCUGAGAGGGUGACCGGCCACACUGGGACUGAGACACGGCCCAGACUCCUACGGGAGGCAGCAGUGGGGAAUAUUGCACAAUGGGCGAAAGCCUGAUGCAGCGACGCCGCGUGAGGGAUGACGGCCUUCGGGUUGUAAACCUCUUUCAGCAGGGAAGAAGCCACAAGUGACGGUACCUGCAGAAGAAGCGCCGGCUAACUACGUGCCAGCAGCCGCGGUAAUACGUAGGGCGCAAGCGUUGUCCGGAAUUAUUGGGCGUAAAGAGCUCGUAGGCGGUUUGUCGCGUCUGCUGUGA
RNAcentral lists this ribosomal RNA (530 nucleotides) under Kocuria palustris. RNAcentral's name for it is "bacterial SSU rRNA". It matches the Rfam family "Bacterial small subunit ribosomal RNA", at positions 57 to 597 of the family's 1533-position model. Lineage: Bacteria; Bacillati; Actinomycetota; Actinomycetes; Micrococcales; Micrococcaceae. The record is from RNAcentral.